Syngnathoides biaculeatus (alligator pipefish) is the source of this 579-nucleotide long non-coding RNA. RefSeq lists it as uncharacterized. The record is from RefSeq and is a predicted model, not a curated record. NCBI's taxonomy places the organism in Eukaryota, Metazoa, Chordata, Actinopteri, Syngnathiformes, Syngnathidae. The transcript has 4 exons.
UAGACUGUCAGGCCUUGGAAAGGAUUUCAGGUCUACUCACAGAUGGUUGCCGCACCGGGUCCGCUGGUGUAGCGAGUUCCAUACAGACUCCGAAGAGCAUUAGAAGCUCCUUGAGCGAUCUUCAACUGCAUAUCAGAGGAGCCAGCGUUCCAGUUCCUGUUGGGAUCAGCGCCGACGCAGCUGGAUCCAGACCUCCUCGAGCGAGUUUUCCUCCACAUCCUGUUCUGCAAAGCAGAUAAUGCAAACAGCAGCGACGCGUGAUGAAAUGAGCAUCUACGACAGCGGAGCAUUGCAGAAGCGGAUGGGAUUUUUUUUUUUGUUUUGUUUUAUUUUGGAUCGUACCUCCUUGACAAACCACUGGCAGAAAGCGGGAGAGAUCCACUCCCUGGCGUGGAUGCCGCAGUCCAUGAAGAUGGCAGGCUUGUUGAAGCCGGUCCUCUUCCCGAGCUGCAGUGGCAAACAAACAGCAUGGUCCGGACCAUGUCCUGGUACAAGGCAGGCACACGGACGUCCACGUCGAUGUCGACGGUCACCAGCUCGGCGCUCUCGGGGCUCCAGAAGUCCAUCUGCAAAAAAAAA